AAAUAGCUUUUAUAAUAAUUUUUUUUAAAAUAUAAAUAUAAAAGAGAUUUAAAUUAAUUUAUAAUUUUAUUACCUUUUGUAUAAGUGUUUUAUGAAAAAAUAUAUAAUUAUAUUUUCUCGAUAUUAAUAGAUUAAAUAUCUUUCUUAUUUUCCGUUGCAUAGGGAAAUAAUAUAAAAGUUAUUAGGAAUGAAAAAUUUUCAAUAUUAAUAAUAUCUAGAUUCUAUUAAAAAGUAUUUAGUACUUUAUACAAUUAUAAGGUUUUUAAAUCUUAUAAAAACUGAAUUUUAUAUUAUAUUUUUUUUAAUUGAAAUAAUUUUCAUUAAAAAAUCUUAUAAAAAUAUUAAGAAAUUUUAAUAAUCUUUUUAUUUAACGGAAAUAAUUUAAAAUUUUUUUAAAAUUAUUUUUUAUGUAAAAAUUAGUAAUGUUAGAAAAUAUUUUUUAGGAAUUCGGCAAAGAGUUUUUUCAACUGUUUAUCAAAAACAUAGUUUAGUGAAAAAUUAUACUAAAUGAAUUCUGCCCAGUGUUUUAAUAAAUGGCCGCAGUACCCUGACUGUGCUAAGGUAGCAUAAUCAAUUGGCUUUUAAUUGAAGUCUGGAAUGAAUGAAAUAAUGGAGGAAUGCUGUCUUAAAAGUAUUAAUUUAAAUUUAUUUAAAAGGUGAAAAUACCUUUUUUUAAAAAAAAGACGAGAAGACCCUAAGAAUUUUUAGAUUAAUUUUUGAAAAUUAAUCUUUUUGUUGGGGCGACAGAUUAGAAAACUAAACCUAAUUUUUUAAAUUGGCGAAUUUUUUAAGUAAUAAAAAAUUACCUUAGGGAUAACAGCAUAAUGUAAAAUUUUUUAUGUUUGUGACCUCGAUGUUGGACUAGGAACUUUAUGGCUAGCAGUCAGAAAAGAUUUAUUCUGUUCGAAUAAUUUAAUCCUACAUGAUCUGAGUUCAGACCGGCGUGAGCCAGGUCAGUUUCUAUCUUUUAAAAUUUUAAUUACAGUACGAAAGGACCUAAUUAAUUUU
Molecule: ribosomal RNA, 1008 nt
Filed under: Bulinus ugandae
Lineage: Eukaryota; Metazoa; Mollusca; Gastropoda; Planorbidae
Description: 16S ribosomal RNA
Rfam family: Archaeal large subunit ribosomal RNA (bases 460-618)
Source: RNAcentral